GAUGAACGCUGGCGGCGUGCCUAAUACAUGCAAGUCGAGCGAACGGACGAGAAGCUUGCUUCUCUGAUGUUAGCGGCGGACGGGUGAGUAACACGUGGAUAACCUACCUAUAAGACUGGGAUAACUUCGGGAAACCGGAGCUAAUACCGGAUAAUAUUUUGAACCGCAUGGUUCAAAAGUUAAAGACGGUCUUGCUGUCACUUAUAGAUGGAUCCGCGCUGCAUUAGCUAGUUGGUAAGGUAACGGCUUACCAAGGCAACGAUGCAUAGCCGACCUGAGAGGGUGAUCGGCCACACUGGAACUGAGACACGGUCCAGACUCCUACGGGAGGCAGCAGUAGGGAAUCUUCCGCAAUGGGCGAAAGCCUGACGGAGCAACGCCGCGUGAGUGAUGAAGGUCUUCGGAUCGUAAAACUCUGUUAUUAGGGAAGAACAUAUGUGUAAGUAACUGCGCACAUCUUGACGGUACCUAAUCAGAAAGCAACGGCUAACUACGUG
This 497-nucleotide ribosomal RNA is filed under the name uncultured bacterium. RNAcentral describes it as "partial 16S ribosomal RNA". It matches the Rfam family "Bacterial small subunit ribosomal RNA", at positions 28 to 507 of the family's 1533-position model. The record is from RNAcentral.